AUGAUGAAGAAAUACAGAAAUCCAAGAGCCUGUGUAGGAUGUGGAAUGGUUCUUUCUUUUAAGACGGCAGAGAAAAUGAAAGCUCUGAUUCCUGGAGAUCAGUUGUUGUGUAAACCUUGUUCAAGGCUGACAAAACCAAAACAGGUUUGUGGGAUAUGCAAGAAGAUAUGGAGUCAUGGAUAGUCAGAGCUGGGUGCGUUGUG
Molecule: non-coding RNA, 203 nt
Organism: Camelina sativa (false flax)
Lineage: Eukaryota; Viridiplantae; Streptophyta; Magnoliopsida; Brassicales; Brassicaceae
Source: RefSeq, a predicted model, not a curated record